UAUUAAAAAAUUUAUUCAUUUUUAUUGUUAAAAACUGGUAUGGUUGACAUAAUAACCAAACAAUGACACGUGGCGCUAUGUGUACCUUAUGCUGACAUACAAGGACCAAUACUUAACAGUAAAAACGAAUAAAAUUUUUAACA
Non-coding RNA from Gossypium hirsutum (cotton), 143 nucleotides. NCBI's taxonomy places the organism in Eukaryota, Viridiplantae, Streptophyta, Magnoliopsida, Malvales, Malvaceae. The record is from Rfam.